Molecule: non-coding RNA, 74 nt
Organism: Podarcis lilfordi (Lilford's wall lizard)
Lineage: Eukaryota; Metazoa; Chordata; Lepidosauria; Squamata; Lacertidae
Source: the annotation of a GenBank genome assembly
UUUGCUGACCCCAGCAGUAGAGCAUGAGACUUUUAAUCUCAGGGUCAUGUGUUCAAGCCCCAUGUUGGGCAAAA